RNAcentral lists this long non-coding RNA (210 nucleotides) under Rattus norvegicus (Norway rat). RNAcentral's name for it is "long non-coding RNA NONRATT033189". The record is from RNAcentral. Lineage: Eukaryota; Metazoa; Chordata; Mammalia; Rodentia; Muridae.
GAUGAUGAUAACAUUGGGGAAUAAAAGUUAGUUUUUCUAUGCAGUGAAGCUUCAGAAAACAUCUGAUCAGCAGAGCUAAUUGACUGCUAGCUGAGAGUGUAAAAGACAAGUGAAUUUCAGGACUAUCAUGAGAGGAGAUGAUGACUCUGUUUCAAUAGCCUCCCGGUGAUACACAAGUGCUGAGUCUACUGGGUCUUUUGCAAGGCUGAG